UUAUUUAUAUGGUUAUUUGAUUUGUAUCAGUGACGUGGCUUUGGGAAGAUGUAAGGAGCGGAUUGAAAUAAUAGCAAAUGCUCUGCGAUUAGAAGGAUUUUCACGUAUUGAUGCAUUCAUGAAUGUAGACAGUGGGGAGGUUUUGGUCAUCGAGGUGAAUACAGUACCUGGAAUGACUCCUUCCACUGUUUUGAUCCAUCAGGCACUUACAGAGCAACCGCCAAUGUAUCCUCAGCAGUUCUUCCGUACUCUGCUUGACUUGGCAUUAGAGAGGUCAAGUUAAAUUCUUGUUUCCAUCGCUUUCUAAUGGAAACAAUGUGUGCCUUAAGUCAUUUCUUUGAACUUCAUUGUGGAUCUCUCUUAUAUAAUAGAUUUUGGUUGAAGUUCAUUGUCUACUUGAUUGGGAUGACUGAAAAUAAAACUCUAGGGACUAUUGUGUAGGUCUGC
Long non-coding RNA from Telopea speciosissima, 447 nucleotides. RefSeq lists it as uncharacterized. The transcript is spliced from 3 exons. The record is from RefSeq and is a predicted model, not a curated record. NCBI's taxonomy places the organism in Eukaryota, Viridiplantae, Streptophyta, Magnoliopsida, Proteales, Proteaceae.